This 330-nucleotide ribosomal RNA is filed under the name uncultured eukaryote. RNAcentral's name for it is "partial 18S ribosomal RNA". It matches the Rfam family "Eukaryotic small subunit ribosomal RNA", at positions 1470 to 1796 of the family's 1831-position model. The record is from RNAcentral.
CCCUUAGAUGUUCUGGGCCGCACGCGCGCUACACUGAUGCAUUCAACGAGUCUAAAACCUGGUCUGAUAGGGCUGGGUAAUCUUUUGAAUGUGCAUCGUGAUUGGGAUAGAUGAUUGCAAUUCUUCGUCUUCAACGAGGAAUGCCUAGUAAACGCAAGUCAUCAGCUUGCAUUGAUUACGUCCCUGCCCUUUGUACACACCGCCCGUCGCUCCUACCGAUUGAAUGUUCCGAUGAAUACCAUGGACUGAGAGUAUGAAUGGGUUCGCCUAUUUCUGCUUCUCGGGAAGUGGAGUAAAUCUUAACAUUUAGAGGAAGGAGAAGUCGUAACA